UAGGUGUAAUAAUAGACUGAAUUGUCCCUUC
Molecule: non-coding RNA, 31 nt
Filed under: Homo sapiens (human)
Lineage: Eukaryota; Metazoa; Chordata; Mammalia; Primates; Hominidae
Source: RNAcentral